This 211-nucleotide long non-coding RNA is filed under the name Capsicum annuum. RNAcentral's name for it is "long non-coding RNA (CANN_LNC007828)". Lineage: Eukaryota; Viridiplantae; Streptophyta; Magnoliopsida; Solanales; Solanaceae. The record is from RNAcentral.
GGAAUGUGGUUUUAUUUUGACACUUAGAUGCUCGAAAAUGGUUAAGUUUAGGGACUUUAGAAGGGGAUUAUGUUUUGGAAUGUUGUUUUGUUAGGUGACUUGGUUGGUUGAAAAUCAUUAAGUUUAGGGACUUUAGAAGGGAUUUUUAUUUUGGAAUGUGGUUUUGUUUUGACACUUGGAUAAAAAGUGUUAGGUUUAGGGACUUUAAAAG